UAAGGAAUAUUGGUCAAUGCCCGGAAGGGUGAACCAGCCAUCCCGCGUGAAGGAUGAAGGGGCUCUGCCUUGUAAACUUCUUUUGAAUGGGACGAAAAAGCCUCACUUGUGAGGAACUGACGGUACCAUUAGAAUAAGCACCGGCUAACUCCGUGCCAGCAGCCGCGGUAAUACGGAGGGUGCGAGCGUUAUCCGGAAUCACUGGGUUUAAAGGGUGCGUAGGCGGCUGUAUAAGUCAGUGGUGAAAGGCUGUGGCUUAACCAUGGGAUUGCCAUUGAUACUGUACGGCUUGAAUUAGGAUGAGGUUGGCGGAAUGUGACAUGUAGCGGUGAAAUGCUUAGAUAUGUCAUGGAACAUCGAUUGCGAAGGCAGCUGACUGGACCUUAAUUGACGCUGAGGCACGAAAGCGUGGGGAGCGAACAGGAUUAGAUACCCCGGUAGUCCCUGAGCGGGCUGGCAAGGCGCAU
Molecule: ribosomal RNA, 467 nt
Filed under: uncultured bacterium
Lineage: Bacteria
Description: bacterial SSU rRNA
Rfam family: Bacterial small subunit ribosomal RNA
Source: RNAcentral